RNAcentral lists this ribosomal RNA (492 nucleotides) under uncultured bacterium. RNAcentral describes it as "partial 16S ribosomal RNA". It matches the Rfam family "Bacterial small subunit ribosomal RNA", at positions 29 to 507 of the family's 1533-position model. The record is from RNAcentral.
AGUGAACGCUGGCGGUAGGCCUAACACAUGCAAGUCGAACGGCAGCACAGUAAGAGCUUGCUCUUACGGGUGGCGAGUGGCGGACGGGUGAGGAAUACAUCGGAAUCUACUUUUUCGUGGGGGAUAACGUAGGGAAACUUACGCUAAUACCGCAUACGACCUACGGGUGAAAGUAGGGGAUCUUCGGACCUUGCGCGAUUGAAUGAGCCGAUGUCGGAUUAGCUAGUUGGCGGGGUAAAGGCCCACCAAGGCGACGAUCCGUAGCUGGUCUGAGAGGAUGAUCAGCCACACUGGAACUGAGGCACGGUCCAGACUCCUACGGGAGGCAGCAGUGGGGAAUAUUGGACAAUGGGCGCAAGCCUGAUCCAGCCAUACCGCGUGGGUGAAGAAGGCCUUCGGGUUGUAAAGCCCUUUUGUUGGGAAAGAAAAGCAGCAGGUUAAUACCCCGCUGUUCUGACGGUACCCAAAGAAUAAGCACCGGCUAACUUCGUG